RNAcentral lists this long non-coding RNA (686 nucleotides) under Homo sapiens (human). RNAcentral describes it as "non-protein coding lnc-CELF4-1:1". Lineage: Eukaryota; Metazoa; Chordata; Mammalia; Primates; Hominidae. The record is from RNAcentral.
AGGGACCACAGUCACAUGAUUUGUGAGUACACUGGGCAGGAAAGAACAGUCCAUGAUAUUCACACGGAGUGAAAUAACUAUUACACCUGCCACAUUGGCUCCCACUGAGGAAUGACUGCUUCCUUGAUUACAAAAAUGGACACUGAAGAAGAUUCAUAAGUUCCAGCUGCAAUGUCCUCAAAUAAGCCUGAUUCCUCAAUUUCCUCUUCUGUCACUCCCAACCUCAUACUUUUGUUUGUGAGUAUCAACUGAAGUAAGAAGAUGAAUGAAGUGCCCAGAGUAAUGUCCAGCAGACCACGGACACAAAACCAAAGCUGGAUUACUUUUUCUCUCCUCUUCUCUUUUGAUGCUAAUUUUGAAGGUGACAUUGGGAGAAGAACAUCCUUUGAAACCCUGACAUUCUAGAAAUCCAGAGCUUCCUUGAGUUUCAACUAUUCUUGGAUGUAUGCAAAGUGGCCGGAAGCCAUUAGUGAUUUACUCAUUGGUCUUAACAAGCAAGCUAAUAUGCCCCCAAAGGUCCUCUUGUAACACAAGCAAAAGGAAGCCAAGGGUUGAACCAUUUAUUCUGUGAAUUUGAUUGAUGUCGACAGGCAAUCUGGACAGCUGAGGCCCAAAUGCACAUUUUUUUUCUCCUCUUUCAUGGCAGGAUUGAUUUUGGCCUGAAUCAUCUAAAUAAUUGCCUUCCC